GUACUGAUGAAGAGUCCUAAACUAGGACGAGACAGCUGUCCAGUAC
Non-coding RNA from Trichobilharzia regenti, 46 nucleotides. The record is from Rfam. Lineage: Eukaryota; Metazoa; Platyhelminthes; Trematoda; Strigeidida; Schistosomatidae.